Molecule: microRNA precursor, 214 nt
Filed under: Picea abies (Norway spruce)
Lineage: Eukaryota; Viridiplantae; Streptophyta; Pinopsida; Pinales; Pinaceae
Description: miR11575 stem-loop (pab-MIR11575)
Source: miRBase by way of RNAcentral
GGAGUGAGUUAAAAAGUGGACAAACUCAACCUUUCUGGUGACUAUUUUUUUUAGCGAGGCAAAGUUCCAUGCUCAUCCACUCAUUUUUUUGGAAUUCCGACCAUCUGGGUCUUUAUAAAAUGGACUAAAACCCCUAGUGGCAAAGUUCCAUGGUCAAAAUUCCCGUCAAUCAGGUGGAAAAAUGGUUGAGUUUGUCAACUUUUUAACUUACUCU